CUGUAUGUCCCAAAAGGGGACUUUCUACUCCAGGACACCAGCUCAAGGCCAGUUUGCUCGUUCUAAUUUGAAGAUAACCCACUCCAGCUGAGGGAAGAGACGCAAAUGCAAACCCUUAGCUCAACAGACUGGGCCCAGGGGAAGGCCAGAGGUCAAAGCCUGUCUCUUCCUCUUCCUCAUUCCCUGGACAGACCCAUCACCCACAGCAGCUGAUGACACACUGAGAAGCAGCUCCAGCCAGCACUGCCAAACCAAAGGAUGAAGGUCCCAUGGCUUCAUAUUGGGGCCAACAGAGGACCCUCCCACGACUGACUGAGGAUCAACCCACUCUUUAAACAAGAGUAACUCUGCCUGUGACGACUCAUGCUGAAGACGAAGGCCCAGCUCCCCAGAGGAGCCAGUCUGUCAGCGAGCAAGAAGCUUGGAGAUGGAUCUCUGCAACACUGGCUUCCAUUCCCAGGGGCCUGCAGUGAGAUACUAAGGAGGCUGUAAACAGACUUUCCACACCCUGGACAGGAUGCCCAGAGCUGGACACCCAAGGAACA
Molecule: long non-coding RNA, 545 nt
Organism: Mastomys coucha (southern multimammate mouse)
Lineage: Eukaryota; Metazoa; Chordata; Mammalia; Rodentia; Muridae
Exons: 2
Source: RefSeq, a predicted model, not a curated record